AGCUGAAGUUGGAUGCUUACCCUACUGAGCCACCCAGGCGCCCCUGCCAUGCUCCUUUUAAAGUCUCUGGGGGAGAAUCCACUCCUGACCUCUCCCAGCUUCUCAUGGCUGGCAGUGCUCCUUGCCUUGUGGCCGUCACUCCAACCCCUGCUUCUAGCUUCACAUCACCACCUUCCCUUCUGUCUAUGUCCGGUCUCUGCCUGCCCCUCUUUUAUGACAGCAUAUAGGACUUACGAUGACAUAUGCAACCACCCAGGUAAUCCAGGACACUUUCCUCAUCUCAAGAUCCUUAACUUAAUCACAUCUGCAAAGAACAUUUUUCCUUAUAAGGUGACAUUCAUAUGUUCUAGGUUUAGGACAGGAUGUCUUUGGGCGGCCAUGAUUCAGCUCACUACAAUCUAACUGCGUUAGGUUAUGAAUACUUUGCCAAGAGAAGGGUUACAAAUAUUCAAUGAGUAGAAACAGUGAUAUUAUCAAUGCUCCAGGCAAAGUUUAAUUACAAAUUUUCCUGCAUUUGGACAACAGAAAGUGCUUGUAGUGGGACCAGAAGACUUGACUUGAGUCCUGAAAUUGUUACUUUAUAACCAUGUGGCCUCGAAGCCAAAGCCUCAGAACUUCAGUUUUUUAAAAACUAUGAAAUUAGUUCAAUAGCACUAUAGGAUCUUUAUAUCUCACAAGAUUUCUCUGCUAUCCAAGUUAAACACUUGAUGGACGAUGGGUGCCUAUGCUAUAAAGUACUACACAGGCACUAAGUCCGUAAGAAAUCACUAAAGCUGGCUAUAUGUGCGUAGCUGGCUUCACAUGAACCACAUUUCAAAUCUUUUGCCGUCAAGUAGACCCAGCCAACCUCUGGAGUAAUAAUUCAUGUUUCAUACAAUUUAGAGUGCAUAGAAAGACAACUGUUUCUAAAGACUCCAAUAGACACACUUGGAUUCUCAUGGUUUCCCUGAGUUUGUGAAGUUAUUACUAUUACUGCUAUUUUUUCGGGUGGUUUUCAAAGCCUCUGACAUUCCUGAUUCUAUAAACAAGCUAUGGUUAGAGACAUAGCGAAAUUACCUUAUGUUUAGAUAGGUGUAAGAUAUGGCAGCAAGAGAACCCACUUUGAGAAACACCGAUGUAUGCCUCACUGUUACAGUUAUGCCUGGACCUGUAACAGUAGGUCGCUUCCGCAGUUGCUGUAGCAGUGCCAGGAGACACGAUGCUUUGGGGAAAGGGGACUCCCAUCUGGCAGGGUGAAGUUGCCUCAGGCUGGCCCAGUGAGCAGCAGGAAGAGGGAAGUACUGAGUGAAGAAGAGACACACAGGGAGAAGAUGGUCAUGUGCAGAUGGAGACAGAUUGCAGUGACAGUGUCAUAAGCUCGGAAACACCUGGGGUUACCAGAAACUGGAAGAGGCCAGGGGAAUUCUCCUCUAGAGGCUUAGAGGGAACACAGCCCUGCCAACUCCUUGCUUCUGGAUUUCUAGCCUUCAGGACUGUGAAAGAAGACGUUUCUGUUGUUUUGAGCCACCUGCUUUGUAUAAUUUGUUACACUAGCCCUAGAGAAUUAAUACAAUCAUCAUCCUCAUGUC
This is a long non-coding RNA of Felis catus (domestic cat), 1568 nucleotides long. RefSeq lists it as uncharacterized. NCBI's taxonomy places the organism in Eukaryota, Metazoa, Chordata, Mammalia, Carnivora, Felidae. The transcript has 2 exons. The record is from RefSeq and is a predicted model, not a curated record.